This 139-nucleotide ribosomal RNA is filed under the name uncultured eukaryote. RNAcentral describes it as "partial 18S ribosomal RNA". It matches the Rfam family "Eukaryotic small subunit ribosomal RNA", at positions 1299 to 1458 of the family's 1831-position model. The record is from RNAcentral.
UGGUGGGUUGCCUUGUCAGGUUGAUUCCGGUAACGAACGAGACCUCAACCUGCUAAAUAGUCACGGCCGGUUCUUCCGGUCGGCCGGCUUCUUAGAGGGACUGUUGGCGACUAGCCAAUGGAAGUUUGAGGCAAUAACA